This 97-nucleotide ribosomal RNA is filed under the name Colletotrichum gloeosporioides. RNAcentral's name for it is "partial 28S ribosomal RNA". The stretch from base 40 to 97 matches the Rfam family "Eukaryotic large subunit ribosomal RNA", at positions 1 to 58 of the family's 3401-position model. The record is from RNAcentral. Lineage: Eukaryota; Fungi; Ascomycota; Sordariomycetes; Glomerellales; Glomerellaceae.
GAGGGACUCUUGCCGUAAAACCCCCAAUUUUCCAAAGGUUGACCUCGGAUCAGGUAGGAAUACCCGCUGAACUUAAGCAUAUCAAUAAGCGGAGGAA